AGGGCACCACCAGGAGUGGAGCCUGCGGCUUAAUUUGACUCAACACGGGGAAACUCACCCGGCCAGGACACAAUAAGGAUUGACAGAUUGAUAGCUCUUUCUUGAUUUUGUGGGUGGUGGUGCAUGGCCGUUCUUAGUUGGUGGAGCGAUUUGUCUGGUUAAUUCCGAUAACGAACGAGACUCUAGCCUAUUAAAUAGACGAUAUAUUAUUAGUCUAUCGAGCUUCUUAGAGGGACAGGCAGCUUCUAGCUGCACGAGAUUGAGCAAUAACAGGUCUGUGAUGCCCUUAGAUGUCCGGGGCUGCACGCGCGCUACAAUGAUAAUAGCAGCGUGCAUUAAAACCUUUUCUGGUAAGAAUUGGUAAACACGAAAUAUUGUCGUGCUUGGGAUAGGGGAUUGAAAUUAUUGCCCUUAAACGAGGAAUUCCCAGUAAGUGCGAGUCAUUAGCUUGCGUUGAUUACGUCCCUGCCCUUUGUACACACCGCCCGUCGCUACUACCGAUUGGAAGAUUUAGUGAAU
This 519-nucleotide ribosomal RNA is filed under the name uncultured eukaryote. RNAcentral describes it as "SSU rRNA". It matches the Rfam family "Eukaryotic small subunit ribosomal RNA", at positions 1161 to 1706 of the family's 1831-position model. The record is from RNAcentral.